RNAcentral lists this transfer RNA (16 nucleotides) under Leiopathes cf. glaberrima MAN206-1. Its description in RNAcentral is "partial tRNA-Trp". Lineage: Eukaryota; Metazoa; Cnidaria; Anthozoa; Antipatharia; Antipathidae. The record is from RNAcentral.
AGUCCCGCCCCUCCUG